AUUUAGAAUACAAUUGCGAAACUCUAUAAAUUACAGUCCUUUUCAUUUACAUGCUUAAUACAGCUAUUAGUAAUUUUAAUAUAUUUGUAUUUCGACUCGGUCGGGUAUAUAGGGCUCUUCUUUCCUCCUAUUACCUGAAAAAAAAAAGUGGCAGGAGUGAGCGCUAAACUCAGUGAGUAGGGUUAGAUAACCCUCUCAUCCCACACAAUCAGACAAAUGCAUAAAUAAGUCAAUUUAGUCAUUCGACUAGUUAUAUGAUCAUGUAGUUUAUCACAAAAAUGAUAAGACAACAGCAAUCACAAAUAUUAACACCUUCUCAUAAUCACAUCACGUGAAAAUUGGUCAGUAGCAUCACCAAAACUCCCGACGAGCCGUCCUCACACAUGGCCUGCCCUCUCAUCACGUGUGCACCAGAGAGCCGAUCCCCAAUACAUGGCUGACCGGUCUCAACCUCACUUGACCAGCCCUCUCAUUUUUUUAUACUCUCUUUUCUUUUCCAUAUCAACAGGUGGUCACCCUGUAGUUUUCCAUAUCAUAUUUCAUCAUAUGCACAUGGGGGUGCCGAUCUCCCCAUACAUGGCUGACGAUAUCAUAGACCGCCCUCACAAACCCAACGGUGAUCCAAUUCAUCCCAAUUCCACACAAGCAAGGCAUCCAUAAAGCACAUUACAACUAAUCAAACUAUAUUCAAUAGCAACAAUUAAUGCAACACAAAUUAACAAAUUACUAAAUAAUGCAUGUCUAGCAUUUAGCCGUGUAUGCAUGGAUGUAAAUGCAGGUGGAUAAUGUGAAUUAUCUAACACUACUUACAGUUUCUCAUUGUUCUUAAAAGGGCUAUCUUUAUUACUGCACUCUUCCAGCAUUGUCUUAACAUUUUGGAACUUUAUAAACAUCUUAAAAAAAAAAAAAAAUUCUAAAUAAGAGUUCUAAUUUGAGAAAUGUAUUUCACAUUCAUUUAUUAAUUUUUUGGUUACUAGUCGCUUAUCUAACUUAUUGAACUAACUAACUAACUAUAUAUAUAUAUAUAUACACACACGUUGUUCCUUUAUUUAUUUAUUUACUCUAAUUUAUAACUUUUAACAAAGCUUCUAGUUAGUUGGUAAGUAAUGUUUGAUAAUAAUAAUAAUAAUAAUAAUGGAAAUAGUAAUACUAAAAGUUUUAAUCGUUACCACCUAUUAAUGAUAUAACUAAUUUAGUUCUUUAAUAAGUGUUUUGCCGAAAAUCCGGCAAUAUUUUCUCUGUAAACUAGACUAUCCCAAUUUUAUAGAUCACACACAUUAACACACAGCCCAUUCAUCAAGCAAAUUCUUAAUCAAAGCCCAUCCUCCGCUAUAUCAUCAUUAGAAUAAUUGUAAAAUAGGGAAAUAAAUUCAAAUUAAUUUCUAAAGGAAAAAUGUAGAAUUGAGUUAUAAGGUUUACCAAUGAAAAAUUGGAUUAAAUAUUUGACAUCAACAUGAAGAGGAGAAGAUUCUGCCUCUGGAGCCUUGCCGGAGCAUCUUGGCCGGUCACUGGAUUGCCGCCACCGACCACCGUGCGCGGUGGUCGGAAAAUCCAACUGUACCCAAAAAUUGCAAACAUACAUCAAUUUGUUUGUUAUGAUGAGAGGAUCACUAAUAUGUGAUCAAUUUAACAUGGGUUUUAACCGUUUGGUCAAAAACUGACCUAGAAGGAUCAGUGGUCACAGCCUAGGAUUUUUCGAUUCCGGCUAUAUCAGUUGGCGGGAAGGCCACCAAAUGAAAGAGGGAGAAGAGAGGAAUCGAUCGACACUUACCUUGAAGCCUCAAGUUGCUGAAAACGGUGUGAAUGGCCGAAAAAGUUGCUGCGACGGUGCCGAACCAUUUCAGUCAAGUUUUCUCUCGAUUCGGGCUCAAAUUGCGCAAACCAAGUCUUG
RNAcentral lists this long non-coding RNA (1891 nucleotides) under Jatropha curcas. RNAcentral's name for it is "long non-coding RNA (JCUR_LNC001559)". Lineage: Eukaryota; Viridiplantae; Streptophyta; Magnoliopsida; Malpighiales; Euphorbiaceae. The record is from RNAcentral.